RNAcentral lists this transfer RNA (73 nucleotides) under Candidatus Rifleibacteriota bacterium. RNAcentral describes it as "tRNA-Val". It matches the Rfam family "tRNA". From Rfam's summary of the family: Transfer RNA (tRNA) molecules are approximately 80 nucleotides in length. Lineage: Bacteria; Candidatus Rifleibacteriota. The record is from RNAcentral.
GGGCGAUUAGCUCAGUUGGCAGAGCGCCUGCUUUACACGCAGGUGGCCGGCGGUUCGAGCCCGUCAUCGCCCA